Molecule: transfer RNA, 57 nt
Filed under: Salmo salar (Atlantic salmon)
Lineage: Eukaryota; Metazoa; Chordata; Actinopteri; Salmoniformes; Salmonidae
Also listed under: 1 other name
Rfam family: tRNA
About the family: Transfer RNA (tRNA) molecules are approximately 80 nucleotides in length. Their secondary structure includes four short double-helical elements and three loops (D, anti-codon, and T loops).
Source: Rfam by way of RNAcentral
UAGCUCAGUUGGUAGAGCAUGGUGCUUGCAUGCUAUGGUUGUGGGUUCAAUUCCCAC